AUAGGUACCUCCCCCCGGGCCUGGGAUAGCGGCGGGAAACCGCCGGUAAUACCAGAUAACGUCCCCGGACCAAAGAUGUGAUUUCACCCGGGGAGGGGCCUAUGGCCUAUCAGCUCGUUGGCGGGGUAACGGCCCACCAAGGCUUAAACGGGUAUGGGGCGUGAGAGCGUGCCCCCACUCACUGGGACUGAGACACUGCCCAGACACCUACGGGUGGCUGCAGUCGAGAAUCUUCGGCAAUGGGCGCAAGCCUGACCGAGCGACGCCGCGUGCGGGAUGAAGGCCUUCGGGUUGUAAACCGCUGUCGUAGGGGAGGAAGGUGCCGUGAAGAACGGUGCUUGACCGAUCCUAGGAGGAAGGGCCGGCUAAUCUCGUGCCAGCAGCCGCGGUAAUACGAGAGGCCCAAACGUUAUUCGGAUUUACUGGGCUUAAAGAGUUCGUAGGCGGUGCGGUAAGUGGGGUGUGAAAGCCCUCGGCUCAACCGAGGAACUGCGCUCCAGACUACCACACUC
Molecule: ribosomal RNA, 512 nt
Filed under: uncultured Planctomycetota bacterium
Lineage: Bacteria; Pseudomonadati; Planctomycetota
Description: bacterial SSU rRNA
Rfam family: Bacterial small subunit ribosomal RNA
Source: RNAcentral